GAUUGAACGCUGGCGGCAUGCCUUACACAUGCAAGUCGAACGGUAACAGGUCUUCGGAUGCUGACGAGUGGCGAACGGGUGAGUAAUAUAUCGGAACGUGCCCAGUCGUGGGGGAUAACGCAGCGAAAGCUGUGCUAAUACCGCAUACGAUCUAUGGAUGAAAGCGGGGGAUCGCAAGACCUCGCGCGAUUGGAGCGGCCGAUAUCAGAUUAGGUAGUUGGUGGGGUAAAGGCCCACCAAGCCAACGAUCUGUAGCUGGUCUGAGAGGACGACCAGCCACACUGGAACUGAGACACGGUCCAGACUCCUACGGGAGGCAGCAGUGGGGAAUUUUGGACAAUGGGCGCAAGCCUGAUCCAGCAAUGCCGCGUGCAGGAUGAAGGCCUUCGGGUUGUAAACUGCUUUUGUACGGAACGAAAAGGCUCUGGUUAAUACCUGGGGCUCAUGACGGUACCGUAAGAAUAAGCACCGGCUAACUACGUG
RNAcentral lists this ribosomal RNA (483 nucleotides) under uncultured bacterium. Its description in RNAcentral is "bacterial SSU rRNA". It matches the Rfam family "Bacterial small subunit ribosomal RNA", at positions 27 to 507 of the family's 1533-position model. The record is from RNAcentral.